Molecule: ribosomal RNA, 253 nt
Filed under: uncultured bacterium
Lineage: Bacteria
Description: partial 16S ribosomal RNA
Rfam family: Bacterial small subunit ribosomal RNA
Source: RNAcentral
UACGGAGGGGGCAAGCGUUAUUCGGAAUCAUUGGGCGUAAAGGGCGUGUAGGCGGCUUCGUGUGUCUUAUGUGAAAGCCCUCGGCUCAACCGGGGAACUGCAUGAGAAACUGCGGAGCUUGAGUCCGGGAGAGGAGAGUGGAAUUCCCAGUGUAGCGGUGAAAUGCGUAGAUAUUGGGAGGAACACCAGUGGCGAAGGCGGCUCUCUGGACCGGUACUGACGCUGAGACGCGAAAGCCAGGGGAGCAAACGGG